This 447-nucleotide ribosomal RNA is filed under the name uncultured bacterium. RNAcentral describes it as "bacterial SSU rRNA". It matches the Rfam family "Bacterial small subunit ribosomal RNA", at positions 329 to 792 of the family's 1533-position model. The record is from RNAcentral.
CGCCAGACUCCUACGGGAGGCAGCAGUGGGGAAUAUUGCACAAUGGGGGAAACCCUGAUGCAGCGACGCCGCGUGAGUGAAGAAGUAUUUCGGUAUGUAAAGCUCUAUCAGCAGGGAAGAAAAUGACGGUACCUGACUAAGAAGCCCCGGCUAACUACGUGCCAGCAGCCGCGGUAAUACGUAGGGGGCAAGCGUUAUCCGGAUUUACUGGGUGUAAAGGGAGCGUAGGUGGCAUGGUAAGCCAGAAGUGAAAACCCGGGGCUCAACCCCGCGGAUUGCUUUUGGAACUAUCAGGCUGGAGUGCUGGAGGGGUAAGCGGAAUUCCUAGUGUAGCGGUGAAAUGCGUAGAUAUUAGGAGGAACACCGGUGGCGAAGGCGGCUUACUGGACAGAAACUGACACUGAGGCUCGAAAGCGUGGGGAGCAAACAGGAUUAGAUACCCGGGUA